RNAcentral lists this ribosomal RNA (547 nucleotides) under uncultured bacterium. RNAcentral describes it as "bacterial SSU rRNA". It matches the Rfam family "Bacterial small subunit ribosomal RNA", at positions 355 to 896 of the family's 1533-position model. The record is from RNAcentral.
UGGGGAAUAUUGCGCAAUGGGGGGAACCCUGACGCAGCCAUGCCGCGUGAAUGAAGAAGGCCUUAGGGUUGUAAAGUUCUUUCGGUAUUGAGGAAGGUUGAUGUGUUAAUAGCACAUCAAAUUGACGUUAAAUACAGAAGAAGCACCGGCUAACUCCGUGCCAGCAGCCGCGGUAAUACGGAGGGUGCGAGCGCUAAUCGGAAUAACUGGGCGUAAAGGGCACGCAGGCGGUUAUUUAAGUGAGGUGUGAAAGCCCCGGGCUUAACCUGGGAAUUGCAUUUCAGACUGGGUAACUAGAGUACUUUAGGGAGGGGUAGAAUUCCACGUGUAGCGGUGAAAUGCGUAGAGAUGUGGAGGAAUACCGAAGGCGAAGGCAGCCCCUUGGGAAUGUACUGACGCUCAUGUGCGAAAGCGUGGGGAGCAAACAGGAUUAGAUACCCUGGUAGUCCACGCUGUAAACGCUGUCGAUUUGGGGGUUGGGGUUUAACUCUGGCGCCCGUAGCUAACGUGAUAAAUCGACCGCCUGGGGAGUACGGCCGCAAGGUUA